GAUGAACGCUGGCGGCGUGCUUAACACAUGCAAGUCGAACGGAAAGGCCACAGCUUGCUGUGGUACUCGAGUGGCGAACGGGUGAGUAACACGUGGGUGAUCUGCCCUGUACUUCGGGAUAAGCUUGGGAAACUGGGUCUAAUACCGGAUAGGAAUCACAUGUGGGUGUGUGGUUGGAAAGCUUUUGCGGUAUGGGAUGAGCUCGCGGCCUAUCAGCUUGUUGGUGGGGUAAUGGCCUACCAAGGCGUCGACGGGUAGCCGGCCUGAGAGGGUGUACGGCCACAAUGGGACUGAGAUACGGCGCAGACUCCUACGGGAGGCAGCAGUGGGGAAUAUUGCACAAUGGGCGCAAGCCUGAUGCAGCGACGCCGCGUGGGGGAUGACGGCCUUCGGGUUGUAAACUCCUUUCGUCAGGGACGAAGCGAAAGUGACGGUACCUGGAUAAGAAGCACCGGCUAACUACGUG
This 466-nucleotide ribosomal RNA is filed under the name uncultured bacterium. RNAcentral describes it as "partial 16S ribosomal RNA". It matches the Rfam family "Bacterial small subunit ribosomal RNA", at positions 28 to 507 of the family's 1533-position model. The record is from RNAcentral.